AUAUUUUAAAAGUUAUAGGAUAUUAUUUGAUUUUUAUAAUAGAGGUUAAUUAAACUUUUUGGUUGGAUAUAUAUUAUAGGCUUUUUUAAAAUGUUAGAAGAUUUUAUUUGGUUGCUUAAUAAGGGUUAGUUAUAUUUGGUUUUAUAUUAUAGGUUGGACUAAAAAAUGAAAGGGUCCAACAACUUUAUAUAAGUAGAUUUUUCAAGACUGCUUCCCUUUUAAUAGUAUAGAUUAAAACAAACUGUAAUUAAAUACAUAAUCGUAUCAAAAACAUGGUUAGAUUAUCAUGUAUAUUUAAUAUAAUUUUUUUUUUUGUUUUUUUUGGUAGGAGGCAGGAGACAUGAAUCUCCUACUUAUUAUAUAAUUUUAUAAUACCUAUAUUUUUUAAUCACAACAGAGUAUUACAUUUUUCAUUUUACCUUAUUUAUAUCUUUUUAUUUGAUUUGCAUCUUAUUCAUAUUGAUGAUUUAGUUUUUUUUUUACAUCGAAAAACUAUUAUAUUACUCAAACUUGAGGUGAUCUGGGUAAUCAAACCUAAUUUGAGGUGGUCUGGGUAACCAAACCUGAAUAGAUCAACCAACGAAAUAGAGUAUUCUACGGAAAGACCUCGCAUUCAUAGCUAAGAAAUCUGAAAUCUGAUUCUGCACUCGUAGAAUAUGAAAAAUCUUAAAAUCCGGGAAGCAUAUCUUGAGAGUCUCUAUCCUCUCCAAUUUUGUCGUAAAGCUCGGUCAAGCAUGAGGCUUGUUGAUCAUUGCAAUCAAAUCCUCGCAGUCCGUUCCAAAACUUUGACAAGUCGAAUGCUGGAGCAUACUCUCC
Molecule: long non-coding RNA, 816 nt
Filed under: Brassica rapa (field mustard)
Lineage: Eukaryota; Viridiplantae; Streptophyta; Magnoliopsida; Brassicales; Brassicaceae
Description: long non-coding RNA (BRAP_LNC005895)
Source: RNAcentral